Molecule: non-coding RNA, 31 nt
Filed under: Rattus norvegicus (Norway rat)
Lineage: Eukaryota; Metazoa; Chordata; Mammalia; Rodentia; Muridae
Source: RNAcentral
UGAUCUAAUUAAAAUGAGUUGAGGGUAGAGC